UACGUAGGGGGCAAGCGUUGUCCGGAAUCAUUGGGCGUAAAGAGCGUGUAGGCGGCCCGAUAAGUCCGCUGUGAAAGUCCAGGGCUCAACCCUGGGAUGCCGGUGGAUACUGUCGGGCUCGAGUCCGGUAGGGGAGUGCGGAAUUCCCGGUGUAGCGGUGAAAUGCGCAGAUAUCGGGAGGAACACCAGUGGCGAAGGCGGCACUCUGGGCCGGAACUGACGCUGAGGAGCGAAAGCGUGGGGAGCGAACAGG
RNAcentral lists this ribosomal RNA (253 nucleotides) under uncultured bacterium. Its description in RNAcentral is "partial 16S ribosomal RNA". It matches the Rfam family "Bacterial small subunit ribosomal RNA", at positions 524 to 776 of the family's 1533-position model. The record is from RNAcentral.